RNAcentral lists this long non-coding RNA (416 nucleotides) under Monodelphis domestica (gray short-tailed opossum). RNAcentral describes it as "lncRNA (ENSMODG00000030868.2)". Lineage: Eukaryota; Metazoa; Chordata; Mammalia; Didelphimorphia; Didelphidae. The record is from RNAcentral.
CAACAUUUUUGUUGUUAUGGUAGCCAAAGUGAUAGCUCAUAUUGAUCAUUUGAGUUCAUUCCUAUGAGCUUCGAUGGAUAAAAGAAUUGUCUGGUGAGUUUUGAAGAGACAAAGCUGAAAAAUGGACAUCUAGGAAAAUUUCACAACUCCUACCAAAACUCUACUCCCAGCUUUUAUAUUCAGGACUGUGAAGAUUACUUUAAUACCUGCCCUAUAAAGUUUGGUCCAAUGGCUCUUUCUGGUAGCUGCUCAUUUAAGGAAGGAAGAUAUAAUCAUUCAACUCAAGCCAAAGCCUAGCUUCCUGAGCCUGCCUUCAUCUCUCCUCUGGCUUGCCAAUUGACAUUUUACAAGGUCUGCUUUACUGCCCCAUAAAACAACAAUGGAAUGCUUAAAUUAAAGUAACAGACAACCUUUUG